This 373-nucleotide ribosomal RNA is filed under the name uncultured bacterium. RNAcentral describes it as "bacterial SSU rRNA". It matches the Rfam family "Bacterial small subunit ribosomal RNA", at positions 28 to 408 of the family's 1533-position model. The record is from RNAcentral.
GACGAACGCUGGCGGCGUGCUUAACACAUGCAAGUCGAACGGUGAAGCCUUCGGGUGGAUCAGUGGCGAACGGGUGAGUAACACGUGAGCAAUCUGCCCUUGACUCUGGGAUAACUUCGGGAAACCGGAGCUAAUACCGGAUAUGACAUCUGGCCGCAUGGUCUGGGUGUGGAAAGAUUUAUCGGUCAAGGAUGAGCUCGCGGCCUAUCAGCUUGUUGGGGGGUAAUGGCCCACCAAGGCGACGACGGGUAGCCGGCCUGAGAGGCGACCGGCCACACUGGGACUGAGACACGGCCCAGACUCCUACGGGAGGCAGCAGUGGGGAAUAUUGCGCAAUGGGCGGAAGCCUGACGCAGCGACGCCGCGUGAGGGA